RNAcentral lists this ribosomal RNA (910 nucleotides) under Streptococcus sp. 11aMclG2. RNAcentral's name for it is "bacterial SSU rRNA". It matches the Rfam family "Bacterial small subunit ribosomal RNA", at positions 11 to 904 of the family's 1533-position model. Lineage: Bacteria; Bacillati; Bacillota; Bacilli; Lactobacillales; Streptococcaceae. The record is from RNAcentral.
UUUGAAUCUUGGNUCAGGAUGAACGCUGGCGGCGUGCCUAAUACAUGCAAGUAGAACGCUGAAGGAGGAGCUUGCUCUUCUGGAAGAGUUGCGAACGGGUGAGUAACGCGUAGGUAACCUGCCUCUUAGCGGGGGAUAACUAUUGGAAACGAUAGCUAAUACCGCAUAAAAGUCGACAUUGCAUGAUGUUGACUUGAAAGGUGCAACUGCAUCACUAAGAGAUGGACCUGCGUUGUAUUAGCUAGUUGGUGAGGUAACGGCUCACCAAGGCGACGAUACAUAGCCGACCUGAGAGGGUGAUCGGCCACACUGGGACUGAGACACGGCCCAGACUCCUACGGGAGGCAGCAGUAGGGAAUCUUCGGCAAUGGGGGCAACCCUGACCGAGCAACGCCGCGUGAGUGAAGAAGGUUUUCGGAUCGUAAAGCUCUGUUGUAAGAGAAGAACGAGUGUGAGAGUGGAAAGUUCACGCUGUGACGGUAUCUUACCAGAAAGGGACGGCUAACUACGUGCCAGCAGCCGCGGUAAUACGUAGGUCCCGAGCGUUAUCCGGAUUUAUUGGGCGUAAAGCGAGCGCAGGCGGUUAGAUAAGUCUGAAGUUAAAGGCUGUGGCUUAACCAUAGUACGCUUUGGAAACUGUUUAACUUGAGUGCAGAAGGGGAGAGUGGAAUUCCAUGUGUAGCGGUGAAAUGCGUAGAUAUAUGGAGGAACACCGGUGGCGAAAGCGGCUCUCUGGUCUGUAACUGACGCUGAGGCUCGAAAGCGUGGGGAGCAAACAGGAUUAGAUACCCUGGUAGUCCACGCCGUAAACGAUGAGUGCUAGGUGUUGGGUCCUUUCCGGGACUCAGUGCCGCAGCUAACGCAUUAAGCACUCCGCCUGGGGGAGUACGACCGCAAGGUUGAAACUCAA